GGGAAGUAAACCGAGCGCUUGGUGAGUGUGGUGGGGCCUGGAGCGCGUGUGAGGGUACACUGUUCGCUUCCCUUUCUGGGGAAGCUGCACUCUGGGAUCCAUGCUUAGCCUCCAGUCUGAUACGGUCCACUCGGGAGUAAGGCGCCCCUGCGGCUGGGCACUGCUGCAGCUCUGCCGGCAGAAGCAGAGCUGCCAGGGUUGGCUGAUUUGUAUCACUGGGGGAAGGUUGGCAUCAGGGACACUUUUAUUCUCUGUGGAAGGAGCAGCAGACCUUUGAGCUGCAGGUAAAGGAAUUUGACUGGAAACUCAAUUUUUAAGAAAUAACAAGGAAAAUGGACCUUCUGGCAUCUGGGUGCUCAACAGAGACAGUGGAACACUAUUCUGGCCAGAAGAGAAGGAGGCACAGCACAGGCAGAGUGGAAUAAUAAAAGGAAGCAGAGUAAUAAUGAGAUUUUAUAUAAUGCUAUCAUGACUGACUGGAAGAGAAAUUCAGAUGUUUUGUCCUUGAGAUCACCAUCCUGAGCCUCAACACCGAAGAUAUUUAAAAACAGCAGAUGGAUUUCUUACUGUACCAGAUGAAGUAGAACAACUGUAGGUGAUAACAUCUGUGUUGCCUGUGCCUUUGCAUUUUAAGAGUGCUCUCAGGAACACGUGCAAAUACUGCAGGCCCUUUGACCUGCCACGUGCUGACCCCACAGUUGUCUCACAGGCUGACUACAAGGAGCCUUGUCAAUUGUAUCUGCAAGACUGGAGUUGCUCAGGCAUUUGAAGUUGUGGGUGCACCUUCACCCAUAUCUGGGACUGUGUUUACAAUUUCACAGUUUUGGAUCUACCCAAAACUGGACUUCAGAAAGGUCACCAACAGACUUCAAAGAUAAUAUCUGUCUUCACAUCUGUGAGAGAGAGCAACAAUUGCCUCCUAUAUUUUACAGCCUGGAAUGUAUGAAAAAUGAACUUCUGAGAAACUGAGUUUUACAAAUACUCAGAAAAUGGGAAGAAAUAACACAGAGGAAAAGGAAAUGGGCAAUGGAUAAAAUGAUAAGGAUUUUUGGCAUCUAAUGGAAAAGGAGAGAGAAACACCUACAAAAUACAAAUCUGCACAUAAAAGUCUUCCUGAACCCUAAAAAUGACAUGCAGUAUGUUAGAUCAUUAUUUUCCUUCUCUGUUACGUCUCUUGCCCUAUUAAUUCCCCUACAUAUACCACAUUUGAUGUGUUCUCGUUAUGCUUAUAUUCCUUCCUGUUACCCCAUAUGAACUAGGAAACUUACCAUGUCUUCCCUUGGAGCUCCAAAUCUCCAAGCACAAAGUAUCCAUGUUCUGUGCCAUGAGCAGUCUUCAGAGAGUUACCUUCGGUCUAGCUUACAGUAGCAUGCAGCUGUCUCUUGGCAAGCACACUACCUAGCGAGCAUGUUGGCACUGUGGUGUCCUGAGGCCGUGAUGCUGCCUGCGGUUCCUUGGCCUCUCUGUGCUGUGUAAACAUGUCUACCGUCUUUAAUGAUCUCAGCUGGUGGCCUUGACACAAAACAACAGAACUUGGAGGCUGCCUUUUGCUGUCGUCUGUAUGCAGUAACCAGGGAAAGGUUUCACCUCUACCAUGGAUUUAGCAGAAUGCCGCCAAAACUGAAGGUGGUGUGAACUCCCAUGCACUGAAUUCAGUGAACCAGAAUUUUCCCACUGAAUUCAUCUGCUUGGAAAUGGAAGUUACAGGUUUACUUCAUCACACAGAUGCCCUGAUGCAUUACAGUUGUGUAUAUUCCUUGAACAGUGCAGUUUACCCACUCAGUUUGAGGACAAGGACAGAGACAGCCUGGCAAAUUGCUCUGAGGUUGUUGAAGGCAGAACCUGUCCAGCUGUACUGUCUGUCCUGUCCCUGCUGUGGUUGGCCUGGCAGGGUGGAGCACCUGCACACGUCGCAGUGCAAAGUCUGCUGUCUUAGCACAAACUGGCUGUCACCAGCACUUUAAAGAAAAUUGCUGGACUUUGCAUCUGAGGCUUGUACGCACAGCCCCAGCCGGCUUUCUUCUGUGGGGAUGUUUUCUCCUGGGAAACAAGUGGUAAUGAAUUGUGGAGGACCUAGAAGCAGAAUAAUUAUUUCUGUUCAUGAGUAUCCAAAGACUUACAGACUUUUUUCCAUGGAUUUGCAGAAAUCGAUCCUUAGUCCCAUUUAAAUGACUACACCAGACGUUCUCAACUGAAUGAAAAUGUACAUGGUAUGCAGGCACCAAAGAUUGCAAAUAAAUGUUUUUCAAAACCGCCUGUAAUUAUGCAAAGUAAAUUUUAUGCAAGAAGUGGCGCCACCUAAAUGACAAAAUAACAUACGCACAUGUUAGAAAAGAGUCUUUUCAAAGGAUCGCCACCCUCCUGGAAUAGCUAGAGUCUUCAAUUACAAGUUAAUCUAUCCUAGUAAUAUUAAUUUGGGAGUUGAUUGGGAGUGGUCCUCUGUUUUUUCAGUAGUUAUUGUAUUCUUUCUACUCUUUCAAUUCUACAGAAUUACCUCCUGUAUGAACACCAUGUGGCAACAUGACUAGUUCUGCUGCAACUUUCCCCAUGACAAGGUAAGAAAUCCAGAGUUAGACGGCUCAGAUGUAACCAAAGCUGAUUUAUAGCUAGAGUUUGUUAAUUUCUCAUUUUAAACUCAGACCCGAGCAGUCAGUUAUAUACUGUCAACAAGCCUGAUACUUACGUUUUUUUCCCAAUUACCCUCUUUUCUGUGUCUCCUGGUAAGUAGAACCAGGAGUAGAACCCACUGGUCUUGUGGCAUUGGGCUGCAGUGCUUCACCAAGGACCCAGAGGAAACAGGGCUGCUCCAGCUAUAUCAGUUAGAAUCUGCUGUCUGCUCCUGUGCCACCAUCCAUGUUCUUCAUGCAGCCUCUCCAUGGAGCUGGACUGUGGUUGAGAGUACAACUGCAGUUGCUUGAAGGAGAGGAUACAAGUCUGUAAAGGUUGCAAACCUGAAGCUCCCUUACUUAGUUGGUGCAAUGAACCAGAUUCUAACUGCCUACAAUUUGAAAGCUUCCAGGAAGACCAUGAAAGGAGUAUCUGAUAUGUUGGUGCUGCUGCAGUAAUAGCUGUGUCAAAACCAGGUGUUGCAACUUCCUAAACAGUAGUAAUAGAUGAGUUGAUACCACCUACUUCCUUAGUUCUUCUUUUCCUGCUUUGUCAUAAGGGUGGCUGUCUAGGACUAGAAAAAGGAAGACAGUGAAGUUUUAAAGGAUUUGCAAUUGUAAGCAGCUGAGAAGGAAAUGAGCACUAAUUCUUGUCAGAAGCAGACUACUAAGCUGCAGGCUGAGUGACGCCCUGUGGGUCCAAGAUCCACUAUACAGAAGUGGGAAUAGUGAGUCUGAAAGUUAAGAGUCUCAGUUGGCCAUUAGUAAUUCUUCUGGUCAUCUGUGAAAGUCUCAGGGAUGGUCCAGUCAAUAGAGCCAUAUCAUUCAUGAAUCUAAGUUUAGGUCACUCUAAGAAGCAUAGCAGACUUGAAAAAGAAAGUUUUAAUGGAUCAGAAGAAGCAACAUUGAUUUUGAGAAAAUAGACACCUUCAUCUAGGACCUUUCCCGAUGAGUCCUCACAUCUGUGACUGCUUUGUACCAAAAUUGACUUUAUAGUCCACACAACCUGGUCUUUAUGAACCCCAGAGGCAGAGUUUUCCUUCCACUGAAUUCCCCUAGUGAAGAUCCAAACUCUUGUCAUCGCGUGACUUAAUAGAUAUUCACUUUGAAUCAAAAAACCUUACACAAAGAUGUUUAAUUGUGUAUUACAUUCAUCCAUGUGUCUUCUCUGUGAGACCAGAGUCUCUUAUAAUAUAAACCAGUUUGAAUUCUCUUUUAUCAUACAUCUGAAAGAAAACAAAGAACAACAAAAACCUCCCACACCAUUUAAAAUGUGUUUACCUGAACUUCUCACCUUAUUACAGAUAGACAUGUGGUGGGAUGGGGAAUUCUGUGUCCUGUUUGUCUUGCUCUGUCACCACAUGCAUGGAACUCAUAUUUCCAGUACAGCAUCAUGACUUCUCUUUGACAGGCCAUGAAGAUGUGUAUUUGCAAAGGCUUAGAGAGCAAUGGAGACACAUUGACAUGGCCACUUCUACAGUUGCCAUCCCUUAGUACUGUUUAGCUGUGUCAUCUCCCAGCCUAGGCAAACAUAAAUAAAGCAAGCCCUCAGAAUUAAUAUCUCUGUCUCUGUUUUCUAGACGGACCACUAAACGAAAUGUGUAAGACUUCACCUAUCUGUAAUGCUGACCAGCUACUGUUAAAAAAACCUUCUUUUCUGUCUCUGCUUUCAUGCUUUGAUAAUCAUUCCCCUUCCUGUUCAUGGGAUGACUUUAUUGUCUUCAUUUUGUCCAUUUUUAUAUUAAAUACUUCCCUUUGGGUUUUGC
Long non-coding RNA from Pezoporus flaviventris, 4372 nucleotides. RefSeq lists it as uncharacterized. NCBI's taxonomy places the organism in Eukaryota, Metazoa, Chordata, Aves, Psittaciformes, Psittacidae. The record is from RefSeq and is a predicted model, not a curated record. The transcript is spliced from 5 exons.